This 253-nucleotide ribosomal RNA is filed under the name Urbifossiella sp. RNAcentral's name for it is "partial 16S ribosomal RNA". It matches the Rfam family "Bacterial small subunit ribosomal RNA", at positions 524 to 776 of the family's 1533-position model. RNAcentral also lists the same sequence under 1 other name. The record is from RNAcentral. Lineage: Bacteria; Pseudomonadati; Planctomycetota; Planctomycetia; Gemmatales; Gemmataceae.
GACGAACCGAGCGAACGUUGUUCGGAAUCACUGGGCUUAAAGGGCGCGUAGGCGGGCUGCCGAGUCCGGGGUGAAAGCCCCCCGCUCAACGGGGGAACGGCCUCGGAUACUGGCGGCCUGGAGGCGGGUAGGGGCGUGCGGAACUGUGGGUGGAGCGGUGAAAUGCGUUGAGAUCCACAGGAACUCCGGUGGCGAAGGCGGCACGCUGGACCCGAUCUGACGCUGAGGCGCGAAAGCCAGGGGAGCGAACGGG